GCGCUGAUGACUGAGCUUGCCAAAGUACAGAAUGACUCUUAGCACUCUCUUCUCCCCAGAGAGGUUGCCAUUUAGCAGCAGGUCUCCUUGUGCACGUGCACAGCCUUUUGUAAUCAGCCAAGACUCAACCUGAAAGUCACGUGACCCCCGGAGAACCAUUCUCUUGAGUGAAGGACAGUCAAAAAGCUUUCUUAGAGGUAUGCGUAAAUUAAGGAUUUAUCUUCAACUGUCUUUCUACAAAACUUGUAAUGAAAAGAGCAGUAUUUCUCAAAAUGCAAGAAAUAUAGUCUCCCAACUAAAUUAUCAGGAGCCAUCAGUCUUCAAUUUGUAAAUGUGGAAGCAGAGCAGGGGAUGGGAAAAGAGGCAGGGAGCCCCUCUUCAGGGACAAGCCCUGCACCAGCCCAUGAGACCAGCUGCUUGCAAGGUGGCCAACACCUUACCUAAACUCAAACUCCACAAUGAGACGCUUGCAUCUUUCCAUGACUUUUUCUUACAAUUCUCUUCAGUGUCUUAUACACAAAUUGUUAAUACCACAACAAAGAUAUUCAGCUGUAUCUUACACAAGUCCCUUAUUAUAGAAGAGAUGCUCCAUGGAGGACAACACAGGAGGACACAUGCAUAUGUUUUUACGCAGUCACGCUGUUUCUUUGUCAAUGCACUUGACAGUAAUGUGGCAAGAAGCCUCAAAUUUAGCUGCAGUGCUAUGAAAUACAGCAGGCCCUUUAAAGACUUAAAAGUGCAAUAG
This 745-nucleotide long non-coding RNA is filed under the name Apteryx rowi (Okarito brown kiwi). RNAcentral's name for it is "lncRNA (ENSARWG00000016917.1)". The record is from RNAcentral. Lineage: Eukaryota; Metazoa; Chordata; Aves; Apterygiformes; Apterygidae.